CCUACGGGAGGCAGCAGUGAGGAAUAUUGGUCAAUGGCCGGAAGGCUGAACCAGCCAAGCCGCGUGAAGGACGAAGGUGCCAAGCAUUGUAAACUUCUUUUGUCAAGGGACAAAAUCAGGCGCGAGAGCCUGACCGAGGGUACUUGAAGCAAAAGCCUCGGAGAAAUCAGUGCCAGCAGCCGCGGUAAUAAGGAGGAGGCGAGCGUUGUCCGGAUUUAUGGGGGUUAAAGGGUGCGUAGGCGGACUGUUACGUCAGCGGUAAAAGCCCGGGGCUCAACCCCGGCGAGCCGUUGAAACUGGCUGUCUUGAGAUGUCGAGAGGGAGGCGGAAUGCGCAGUGUAGCGGUGAAAUGCUUAGAUAUUGCGCAGAACUCCGAUUGCGAAGGCAGUAUACCGGCGGCGAUCUGACGCUGAGGCACGAAAGCGUGGGUAUCGAACAGGAUUAGAUACCCUUGUAGUC
This 459-nucleotide ribosomal RNA is filed under the name uncultured bacterium. RNAcentral's name for it is "partial 16S ribosomal RNA". It matches the Rfam family "Bacterial small subunit ribosomal RNA", at positions 338 to 795 of the family's 1533-position model. The record is from RNAcentral.